RNAcentral lists this ribosomal RNA (765 nucleotides) under uncultured Streptococcus sp. RNAcentral's name for it is "bacterial SSU rRNA". It matches the Rfam family "Bacterial small subunit ribosomal RNA", at positions 28 to 776 of the family's 1533-position model. Lineage: Bacteria; Bacillati; Bacillota; Bacilli; Lactobacillales; Streptococcaceae. The record is from RNAcentral.
GACGAACGCUGGCGGCGUGCCUAAUACAUGCAAGUAGAACGCUGAAGGAAGGAGCUUGCUCUUUCCGGAUGAGUUGCGAACGGGUGAGUAACGCGUAGGUAACCUGCCUGGUAGCGGGGGAUAACUAUUGGAAACGAUAGCUAAUACCGCAUAAUAGUAGAUAUCGCAUGAUAACUGCUUAAAAGGUGCAAUUGCAUCACUACCAGAUGGACCUGCGUUGUAUUAGCUAGUUGGUGAGGUAACGGCUCACCAAGGCAACGAUACAUAGCCGACCUGAGAGGGUGAUCGGCCACACUGGGACUGAGACACGGCCCAGACUCCUACGGGAGGCAGCAGUAGGGAAUCUUCGGCAAUGGACGGAAGUCUGACCGAGCAACGCCGAGUGAGUGAAGAAGGUUUUCGGAUCGUAAAGCUCUGUUGUAAGAGAAGAACGAGUGUGAGAGUGGAAAGUUCACACUGUGACGGUAUCUUACCAGAAAGGGACGGCUAACUACGUGCCAGCAGCCGCGGUAGUACGUAGGUCCCGAGCGUUGUCCGGAUUUAUUGGGCGUAAAGCGAGCGCAGGCGGUUAGAUAAGUCUGAAGUUAAAGGCUGUGGCUUAACCGUAGUACGCUUUGGAAACUGUUUAACUUGAGUGCAAGAGGGGAGAGUGGAAUUCCAUGUGUAGCGGUGAAAUGCGUAGAUAUAUGGAGGAACACCGGUGGCGAAAGCGGCUCUCUGGCUUGUAACUGACGCUGAGGCUCGAAAGCGUGGGGAGCAAACAGG